RNAcentral lists this transfer RNA (71 nucleotides) under Garra kempi. RNAcentral's name for it is "tRNA-Asp". The record is from RNAcentral. Lineage: Eukaryota; Metazoa; Chordata; Actinopteri; Cypriniformes; Cyprinidae. RNAcentral also lists the same sequence under 1 other name.
AAGACAUUAGUAAAAUAAAUUAUAUCACCUUGUCAAGGUGAAGUCGCGGAAUAACACCCCCGCAUGUCUUA